This is a long non-coding RNA of Daucus carota subsp. sativus, 679 nucleotides long. RefSeq lists it as uncharacterized. Lineage: Eukaryota; Viridiplantae; Streptophyta; Magnoliopsida; Apiales; Apiaceae. The record is from RefSeq and is a predicted model, not a curated record. The transcript has 3 exons.
UUUGACUUCUCCUUUGAUUCAAUUCACAAAGCCCUUCAUCUACAAACAAGACAGACAGCCGCUUAAGACCAACAAAUACACAAUAUGAACCCUAGAUCUGGAGAUUUUUUCAAUCUUUGUGUCUCUUUCAUAUCUAUCUCUAACUCUCUAAACUGGUUUGUUUGAUCUUUGAUUUGGACGUUGUUAGAAUACAUCUCUAUUUCUAUGUGCAUAAAUCUCAUGUUUAAUUGAUUUUUAUUUUGCCAUACAAGCAAGCUGAGCUUGAAUCACUAAGCCCAUGAGACCAGAUACUUUCUACAUCUGAAUCUUUAGUUGGUAUCAAUUUUUUGCCCAUUUCUCUAUAAUGUUGCAUCUGGUUAUUUCCUUUAGGUAUUUUCUUUAGUGGGUGAUUAGGGUUUUUACAGCUUCUUGAAAUUAGGGAUUUCAAUUGGGCUUGAAAUCAAGGGCUGGUGCAUUCAAAUGGAGAGGUAGGUAAAUGAAUUAAAAAAGAGCGGAGGAAAUAAAGAAACCAAGAUAGAGAAUAUAGAAGAGCUAGCAGUGGAGAGCUCAAAUCAAAUUAAAGAAUCUUUGUCGUAGAUUGAUCUUCAUAGCAACCAAGUUAUUGGUGGAUAUUAGAUGGUAUAUGUGGUUUGGUUGUAACACUGGUUAUCAGUGCAUAAUGAUGAUUUUUGUUUACAAA